CAGCAGCCGCGGGAAUACCGAGGGUGCGAGCGUUAAUCGGAUUUACUGGGCGUAAAGCGUGCGUAGGCGGCUAAUUGAGUCGGAUGUGAAAUCCCCGAGCUUAACUUGGGAAUUGCAUUCGAUACUGGUUAGCUAGAGUGUGGGAGAGGAUGGUAGAAUUCCAGGUGUAGCGGUGAAAUGCGUAGAGAUCUGGAGGAAUACCGAUGGCGAAGGCAGCCAUCUGGCCUAACACUGACGCUGAGGUACGAAAGCAUGGGGAGCAAACAGGAUUAGAUACCCGUGUAGUCCCUGUCUCUUAUAC
This 301-nucleotide ribosomal RNA is filed under the name uncultured bacterium. RNAcentral's name for it is "partial 16S ribosomal RNA". It matches the Rfam family "Bacterial small subunit ribosomal RNA", at positions 509 to 807 of the family's 1533-position model. The record is from RNAcentral.